UGGGUUGUGGCUCAGUAGAGGAGCGCUUGCCUCGCAUGCAUGGGGCCCUGGGUUCGAUUCUCAGCACCACAU
This 72-nucleotide transfer RNA is filed under the name Ictidomys tridecemlineatus (thirteen-lined ground squirrel). RNAcentral's name for it is "Spermophilus tridecemlineatus (thirteen-lined ground squirrel) tRNA". It matches the Rfam family "tRNA". From Rfam's summary of the family: Transfer RNA (tRNA) molecules are approximately 80 nucleotides in length. Their secondary structure includes four short double-helical elements and three loops (D, anti-codon, and T loops). Lineage: Eukaryota; Metazoa; Chordata; Mammalia; Rodentia; Sciuridae. The record is from Rfam by way of RNAcentral.